GACGAACGCUGGCGGCGUGCUUAACACAUGCAAGUCGAACGAUGAAGAAAAGAAUCCAAGCUUCGGCAGAAAUUCAUUUCGGAUUAGUGGCAGACGGGUGAGUAACGCGUGAGCAACCUACCUCUUACAAAGGGCUAGCCUCGGGAAACCUGGAUUAAUACCAUAUAACAUUGUGCCGAAGCAUUUCGAUGCAAUCAAAGCUACGGCGGUAAGAGAUGGGCUCGCGUCCCAUUAACCGGAUGGUGAGGUAACUGCUCACCAUAGUGACGAUGGGUAACCGGGCUGAGAGGGUGAACGGUCACACUGGAACUGAGACACGGGCCAGACUCCUACGGGAGGAGGCAGUGGGAAAUAUUGCACAAUGGAGGGAACUCUGAUGAAGCGACGCAGCGUGAAUGAUGAAGGAAUUCGUUUCGUAAAACUAUGUUCUAUGAGAAGAAAAGGAAUGUACCAUAGGAGAAAGCUCCGGCUAAAUACGUG
Molecule: ribosomal RNA, 480 nt
Filed under: uncultured bacterium
Lineage: Bacteria
Description: partial 16S ribosomal RNA
Rfam family: Bacterial small subunit ribosomal RNA
Source: RNAcentral